Molecule: ribosomal RNA, 492 nt
Filed under: uncultured bacterium
Lineage: Bacteria
Description: partial 16S ribosomal RNA
Rfam family: Bacterial small subunit ribosomal RNA
Source: RNAcentral
AGUGAACGCUGGCGGUAGGCCUAACACAUGCAAGUCGAACGGCAGCACAGUAAGAGCUUGCUCUUACGGGUGGCGAGUGGCGGACGGGUGAGGAAUACAUCGGAAUCUACUUUUUCGUGGGGGAUAACGUAGGGAAACUUACGCUAAUACCGCAUACGACCUACGGGUGAAAGCAGGGGAUCUUCGGACCUUGCGCGAUUGAAUGAGCCGAUGUCGGAUUAGCUAGUUGGCGGGGUAAAGGCCCACCAAGGCGACGAUCCGUAGCUGGUCUGAGAGGAUGAUCAGCCACACUGGAACUGAGACACGGUCCAGACUCCUACGGGAGGCAGCAGUGAGGAAUAUUGGACAAUGGGCGAAAGCCUGAUCCAGCCAUACCGCGUGGGUGAAGAAGGCCUUCGGGUUGUAAAGCCCUUUUGUUGGGAAAGAAAAGCAGCAGGUUAAUACCCCGCUGUUCUGGCGGUACCCAAAGAAUAAGCACCGGCUAACUUCGUG